CAUCGGUCGUAGCAUGACGGAGCAUGCCGCGUGAGGGAGGAAUGUCUGUGGAUUGUAAACCUCUUUUCUCUGGGAAGAAGAUCUGACGGUUGCCUAGGAAUCAGCCUCCGCUAACUCCGUGCCCGCCGCCGCGGUUAGACCGAAGAUGCCAGCGUUUUCCGGAAUUAUUGGGCGUAAAGCGUCCGUAGGCGGUUAAUUAAGUCCGUUGUUAAAGACUGCAGCUCAACUGUGGGAGAGCAACUGAAACUGGUUGACUAGAGUAUGGUAGGGGUAGAGGGAAUUCCUAGUGUAACGGUGAAAUGCGUAAAUUUUAGGAAGAACACCCGUGGCGAAAGCGCUCUACUGGGCCAAGACUGACCCUGAUGGACCAAAGCUAGGGGAGCGAAAGGGAUUAGAUACCCCCCGGUAAUCCA
RNAcentral lists this ribosomal RNA (413 nucleotides) under uncultured bacterium. RNAcentral describes it as "bacterial SSU rRNA". It matches the Rfam family "Bacterial small subunit ribosomal RNA", at positions 369 to 797 of the family's 1533-position model. The record is from RNAcentral.